Molecule: small RNA, 120 nt
Filed under: Epilithonimonas arachidiradicis
Lineage: Bacteria; Pseudomonadati; Bacteroidota; Flavobacteriia; Flavobacteriales; Weeksellaceae
Description: Chryseobacterium arachidiradicis Flavo-1 RNA
Source: RNAcentral
CUUGCGCCCCGACCUGAGUGGAGCUCUUUUUCUGUUAUUGCGACUUUACAAAAUUUCUACAGAUUGUUUCAUGUUGUUCGCAAUGACAGAAAAAAGCGGGAACGGAGAGCGGAUAAAGGC